Stylophora pistillata is the source of this 1853-nucleotide long non-coding RNA. The record is from RefSeq and is a predicted model, not a curated record. Lineage: Eukaryota; Metazoa; Cnidaria; Anthozoa; Scleractinia; Pocilloporidae.
AUUUGAAGAUGGCAGAGGUAGCGAACAAUUGCGGCAGCGAAAACUUGAAGCGGAAACGCAAACAUGGCUGGAACCCGCAUUCAAAGGAUUGGAAUAAAAUGAGGAAAAUGGAGCCCAGCAAAAGGAAGCGAGAUGCGAAGAAAACUCAGAUUCUCCAGCCUCAAUUACCACAAACCGCCACAGAAAUAUCCUCCAACUGGAAGGCUUUACAAGUGCUCCAGAAUUCAAGACAGUUCAACUUGAAGUUCAAAAAUUCUUAAAAAGAAAUCCUCUGUGGGAUAUUCCUUGAAGAAUGACCUUGAGUGUCAAGAAGAGACUUGGAGCAGAGCAGGGACUGGUUUCUAAUAUCUCCUUACUGCGUCACCCUGCAAAGGUCACAAGAAUACUGCAAAUGAUCACCAAAUUAGGAAGCUGCUGAUUAUCAAACAAAUUCUCCUUGAUGACAACACAGAAAAUAUAGAGACAACAGUGUGGAGAAUAUCAAUGUUGAUGUCAGGGUGUAAAAGGAUUAGGUUAAUUUUGCCCCUUAUUAGGUUGAGGACAAUCAGCAAAAAUUAAGGGGAAAAUUUACACACUUGUUUGAUUACAAGCAGAAACAAAGCUGUUUUUCUUGAGUUUAGGCCAAUUUUCAACAGAAGCAUCCGGAAAAAAGUCACAAUCUAUUUACAUUUGUAUUUUAUACCAUGUACAAGAUACACAGGUAGCCAUGAAGCUUUACACUUUGCACAGAAAACAGUGGGAAAGACAAUUGCAUGAAGCUAGAGUAGAGCCUUCUAAGAAAGCAGUUGUAAAUAGACUUGUUACCUCAAGUCAUAAUAGAUAACAGAGCUACAAAGAUGGUAAAACAGCAGUGCAAUAUGGGAUUGUUUGCAAAGUUGGGGGGCACAGGGUUACCAAGUAACACAAACCUCAUCUAGGCAAUUUUUUAUUGGUGGAGGAGUUGUGCUGGAGACUUUUUAGUCAGUGAAUUCAAAGAGUUUUUCCUGUGCAGGGUUAUUUCCAUUAAAUGUUAGGAAUCAGAGACUUUUUUGGACACAGCAAAGUUAGACAACAACCUCAGUUAUUCCAGUUGAGACAUGCAGCUGUCCAUUUUAUGAUGAGAAAUCAAGUGUAGUCAAUCACAAAUUAGGGCACCACCAGCAAUCAAAUUGAACCUCUAUUUCAUCAAAUUGUCUUCUUAAAGUAACUUAAAAGAAAUUCAAAUAAUUUGGAAAUAAUAGGUUACAGUACCCAACUAAUGUGAUGGUACUGUAGCAAAGUUUAGUCUAAUUGUAUUCUAAACAGGUUGAUUUUGUGCUGAAUAGUUUGCAGAGCAGUAAAAAUUUAACUUGAUUUAAGGACACUAAGAAAGGUGAAUUGAAACAGAAUUCUACUUAAAAUUUCAAAUUACUUUAAACUCUUUGUACUGCAGAGAAGUACAAACUCAACUAAAUUUAAGCACACUAAGAAAGGUAAAUUGAAACAGAAUUCUACCUAAAUUGUUUAAUUACAUUAAACUAUCUGUAAAUAUCAACACAAAAAAUGAGUGAGGGUGCACUGAUGUCAUUGUUUUCUUGUAAAUUGUGAGGUGGUUUUUUUUUUUGCUGCAAUGGCGUGUGUGAAGCUUGUCUUCAUCCACCAUAAAAUUGGAGUCUAGUCAGGCACUUUAUCCAGGCACAAGGGUAUUUAAUACAACAUUUAGUCAUCGACUUUCUUCAGUUUCUUUAGUGGAAUGCAGAAAAAAUAUGCAAAGUCAAGGGACUAGCAAAUACUUGCCAAAAGUGUCCUUGUAGUAGAACUCGGAACUUAGUUCAAUGUUUAACAAAGUAGAAAUUGUUUUGGAUAAUUCAGAUAUUAAAUGAAUGAAAGUUACA